This is a non-coding RNA of Vicia faba (fava bean), 255 nucleotides long. NCBI's taxonomy places the organism in Eukaryota, Viridiplantae, Streptophyta, Magnoliopsida, Fabales, Fabaceae. The record is from the annotation of a GenBank genome assembly.
AUGCCACCACAAGAUCCGACGAAUCUGGAGUCCGAUGGCGAGAAUUGCACAUGCAACUCAGCCGGUGCAAACGUCGACGAGAGCCAUCCGUUCGCACAGAACAAUAACGUCACCGAAGAUCCACCAUCGAAACUUCCACGAUCCAACCGUCUCCCCUUCAAAUCCGGAGACAACCACAUCCGCCUUUACACAAUCAUCAUAAUUUCGCUCAGAUUCGUAAAGUCAUUCUCGGUGAUAAAGAUUAGAGUAGCUUGA